Oryctes borbonicus is the source of this 71-nucleotide microRNA precursor. It matches the Rfam family "mir-87 microRNA precursor family". Lineage: Eukaryota; Metazoa; Arthropoda; Insecta; Coleoptera; Scarabaeidae. The record is from Rfam.
AGUCGACACGCUUGAUCUUUGUUUUUCCUGUGUAUUGGGCAAGGUGAGCAAAGAUUCAGGUGUGUUGACUU